Molecule: transfer RNA, 73 nt
Filed under: Felis catus (domestic cat)
Lineage: Eukaryota; Metazoa; Chordata; Mammalia; Carnivora; Felidae
Rfam family: tRNA
About the family: Transfer RNA (tRNA) molecules are approximately 80 nucleotides in length.
Source: Rfam by way of RNAcentral
ACCUGGCUGGUUCAGUUUGUAGAGCAUGAAACUCUUAAUCUCAGGGUCAUGAGUUCAAGCCCUGUGUCGGGUA